Molecule: long non-coding RNA, 631 nt
Organism: Ornithodoros turicata
Lineage: Eukaryota; Metazoa; Arthropoda; Arachnida; Ixodida; Argasidae
Exons: 3
Source: RefSeq, a predicted model, not a curated record
UGCGCAAACUUCGCCGCGACAGCGCCAUGUGUGGCCGGCUCUUGCCGGCGGCGCCGCAAUGUAUUACUUCCACGGACUUGGCACAACCGGCAGUGUUUCAGCCCCUCGUCAACUGGCUUGCUGCCGCGUGCAAACCUUCCGGAACUUACGACCGCCGCGAAGCAACUGUGGCUACGAGCGGCGUACAGAUGUGGGCAAGUGGAGAGAGGACAGCAGCAAGAAGGGGAGAUUGGGGUUAGUAUGCGUCCUGGGCCGGCUUCAGGGGAACUCUGUGGGAAAAACGAACCAGCACAAGCGGUGGGAAGGUUCCAACCCGCCACCUCCCAGUCCACAGCACGACCUUGCAGCGUCGAUAGCACAAGACGAUGAGUGGUUGCUUUUAGUUAGUCGGCCAUGCCCUUGCACCCUUCCACGAAGCUGUUGGCAUCCUGGGCUGGGUUCGAACCCGAAACCCUGGAUUCAGUAGGCGGCAACGUUACCGCUUCGACCUUCAUCAACAGAGACCGGUAAUUGAGAAAUGAAAAAAAAAUACAGGAAGGACAGAAGUGCAUACUGAAAAGCAGAAAAAAUAAUCAGAGUCUAAAACACUGGGUAACACACAUACGAGAGCAAAUAUGAACAUUCGGAGCGA